CUUUAGCCCCGAUAGCAAUGAAAAUCCUUUUUCUAAAUCCUGUCAGGGUUUUAAACCCUGACAGGAUUGAAAAAGAUUGCAAUGAAUAGCGGGAAUAGCU
This 100-nucleotide small RNA is filed under the name Flavobacterium xinjiangense. RNAcentral's name for it is "Flavo-1 RNA". It matches the Rfam family "Flavo-1 RNA". The record is from RNAcentral. Lineage: Bacteria; Pseudomonadati; Bacteroidota; Flavobacteriia; Flavobacteriales; Flavobacteriaceae.